ACGGAAGGCAGCAGUGAGGAAUAUUGGUCAAUGGGCGCGAGCCUGAACCAGCCAAGUAGCGUGAGGGAUGACUGCCCUACGGGUUGUAAACCUCUUUUGUUUGGGAAUAAAGGAGCCUACGUGUAGGCUUUUGCAUGUACCUUUCGAAUAAGCAUCGGCUAAUUCCGUGCCAGCAGCCGCGGUAAUACGGAAGAUGCGAGCGUUAUCCGGAUUUAUUGGGUUUAAAGGGAGCGUAGGCGGCCUUUUAAGUCUGCGGUCAAAUGUCAGGGCCCAACCUUGGCAUGCCGUGGAUACUGAUGGGCUUGAAUACACGCAAGGCAAGUGGAAUUCGUCGUGUAGCGGUGAAAUGCUUAGAUAUGACGAAGAACUCCGAUUGGGAAGCCAGCUUACUGUAGCGCCACUGACGCUGAUGCUCGAAAGCGUGGGUAUCGAACAGGAUUAGAUACCCUGGUA
RNAcentral lists this ribosomal RNA (453 nucleotides) under uncultured Paraprevotella sp. RNAcentral's name for it is "partial 16S ribosomal RNA". It matches the Rfam family "Bacterial small subunit ribosomal RNA", at positions 341 to 792 of the family's 1533-position model. The record is from RNAcentral. Lineage: Bacteria; Pseudomonadati; Bacteroidota; Bacteroidia; Bacteroidales; Prevotellaceae.